GCUGGUGUAGCUCAACGGUAGAGCUCCUGUUUUGUAAACAGGAGGUUGUGGGUUCGAAUCCCUCCGCCAGCU
This 72-nucleotide transfer RNA is filed under the name Planctomyces sp. RNAcentral describes it as "tRNA-Thr". It matches the Rfam family "tRNA". Rfam says of the family: Transfer RNA (tRNA) molecules are approximately 80 nucleotides in length. Their secondary structure includes four short double-helical elements and three loops (D, anti-codon, and T loops). Further hydrogen bonds mediate the characteristic L-shaped molecular structure. tRNAs have two regions of fundamental functional importance: the anti-codon, which is responsible for specific mRNA codon recognition, and the 3' end, to which the tRNAs corresponding amino acid is attached (by aminoacyl-tRNA synthetases). tRNAs cope with the degeneracy of the genetic code in two manners: having more than one tRNA (with a specific anti-codon) for a particular amino acid; and 'wobble' base-pairing, i.e. permitting non-standard base-pairing at the 3rd anti-codon position. The record is from RNAcentral. Lineage: Bacteria; Pseudomonadati; Planctomycetota; Planctomycetia; Planctomycetales; Planctomycetaceae. RNAcentral also lists the same sequence under 2 other names.